This 624-nucleotide ribosomal RNA is filed under the name uncultured fungus. RNAcentral describes it as "eukaryotic LSU rRNA". It matches the Rfam family "Eukaryotic large subunit ribosomal RNA", at positions 24 to 664 of the family's 3401-position model. Lineage: Eukaryota; Fungi. The record is from RNAcentral.
CCCGCUGAACUUAAGCAUAUCAAUAAGCGGAGGAAAAGAAACCAACAGGGAUUGCCCCAGUAACGGCGAGUGAAGCGGCAAUAGCUCAAAUUUGAAAUCUGGCUCUUUCAGGGUCCGAGUUGUAAUUUGCAGAGGGCGCUUUGGCGUCGGCAGCAGCCUAAGUUCCUUGGAACAGGUCAUCAUAGAGGGUGAGAAUCCCGUAUGUGGCUGCUUGUCUUCGCCGUGUAAAGCCCCUUCGAUGAGUCGAGUUGUUUGGGAAUGCAGCUCUAAAUGGGAGGUAAAUUUCUUCUAAAGCUAAAUAUUGGCCAGAGACCGAUAGCGCACAAGUAGAGUGAUCGAAAGAUGAAAAGCACUUUGGAAAGAGAGUCAAAAAGCACGUGAAAUUGUUGAAAGGGAAGCGCUUGCAGCCAGACGUGCCCGUAGUUGCUCAUCGGGGGUUCUCCCCCGUGUACUCUUCUAUGGGCAGGCCAGCAUCAGUCCGGGCGGUUGGAGAAAGACCUGUGUCAUGUAGCUGUUUUCGGGCAGUGUUAUAGGGCAGGUGGAAUGCAACCAGCCUGGACUGAGGUCCGCGCAUCUGCUAGGAUGCUGGCGUAAUGGCUGUAAGCGGCCCGUCUUGAAACACGG